This 250-nucleotide ribosomal RNA is filed under the name uncultured bacterium. RNAcentral's name for it is "partial 16S ribosomal RNA". It matches the Rfam family "Bacterial small subunit ribosomal RNA", at positions 779 to 1025 of the family's 1533-position model. The record is from RNAcentral.
UAGAUACCCUGGUAGUCCACACCGUAAACGUUGGGCGCUAGGUGUGGGACACAUUCCACGUGUUCCGUGCCGCAGCUAACGCAUUAAGCGCCCCGCCUGGGGAGUACGGCCGCAAGGCUAAAACUCAAAGGAAUUGACGGGGGCCCGCACAAGCGGCGGAGCAUGCGGAUUAAUUCGAUGCAACGCGAAGAACCUUACCUGGGUUUGACAUAUACGGGAAGCCUGCAGAGAUGUGGGUCUCAUUGAUACU